CAAAUUUCUGCCCUAUCAACUUUCGAUGGUAGAGUAGUGGUCUACCAUGGUUUCAACGGGUAACGGGGAAUUAGGGUUCUAUUCCGGAGAGGGAGCCUGAGAAACGGUACCACAUCCAAGGAAGGCAGCAGGCGCGCAAAUUACCCAAUCCCGACACGGGGAGGUAAGUGACAAUAAAUACUGAUACAGGGCUCUUUUGGGUCUGUGUAAUCGGAAUGAGUACAAUUUAAAUUCCUUAAGAGGAACAAUUGGAGGGCAAGUCU
This 263-nucleotide ribosomal RNA is filed under the name uncultured fungus. Its description in RNAcentral is "partial 18S small subunit ribosomal RNA". It matches the Rfam family "Eukaryotic small subunit ribosomal RNA", at positions 300 to 562 of the family's 1831-position model. The record is from RNAcentral. Lineage: Eukaryota; Fungi.